This 63-nucleotide transfer RNA is filed under the name Lentula callani. RNAcentral's name for it is "tRNA-Phe". The record is from RNAcentral. Lineage: Eukaryota; Metazoa; Arthropoda; Insecta; Orthoptera; Lentulidae.
AUUUAAAUAGCUUAUUUAGAGCAUAACACUGAAGAUGUUAAGGAAUAUUUUAUAUUUUAGAUA